This 299-nucleotide unclassified non-coding RNA is filed under the name uncultured Ceratobasidiaceae. RNAcentral's name for it is "sequence contains ITS1". The stretch from base 1 to 105 matches the Rfam family "5.8S ribosomal RNA", at positions 50 to 154 of the family's 154-position model. Lineage: Eukaryota; Fungi; Basidiomycota; Agaricomycetes; Cantharellales; Ceratobasidiaceae. The record is from RNAcentral.
GAAAUGCGAUAAGUAAUGUGAAUUGCAGAAUUCAGUGAAUCAUCGAAUCUUUGAACGCACCUUGCGCUCCUUGGUAUUCCUUGGAGCAUGCCUGUUUGAGAUCAGAUCUUAAAUGCAUUAGCUGGAUCUCAGUAUGUGCUUGGUUCCACUCGGCGUGAUAAGUAUCACUCGCUGAGGACACUUUUGUAAAAAAAAGGUGGCCAGGAAAUACAGGUGAACCGCUUCUAACAGUCUAUUAAAUUAGACAAAUAAUUUUAAGAUCUGAUCUCAAAUCAGGUAGGACUACCCGCUGAACUUAA